GUGUUGAUCAGUGGCUGUCCAGGCCUUUCAGAGCCACUGACACACCAGCAGCACAAUGAUGAUGUCUCUGACUCUACUGCUGGCCACCCUGGGGUUCCUUGUUCAGGGUUCAUCAGGAGACAUCAUCCUGACUCAGUCUCCUGGAGCUCAGUCUGUUGUUCUGGGACAGACUGUCUCUAUCAGAUGUAAAGUCAGUUCACAUGUUGGCAGUGAGGUAGACUGGUACCUUCUGAAACCUGGAGAAGCUCCUAAACUCCUGAUUUAUUAUGCUACAAACCGUCAGUCUGGAGUUUCAGAUCGUUUCAGUGGAAGUGGAUCUGGUACUGACUUCACUCUGACCAUCAGUAGAGUCCAGACUGAAGAUGCAGGAGUUUAUUACUGUCAGCAGGAUUACAGCACCCCGUUCACACAGUGAUACAACGUCGUACAAAAACCUCCCUCAGCUGCAGAGGAACUGAUCUGACUCAACAGCUGCACAGUAAUAGACACACUUUAGAAGUUUGACUGACAAUCAAGUUAAUAUAACAGAAAAAUAUCAGGAAAUAUUAUUUAUCAUCUAUUAAGUUA
Lates calcarifer (barramundi perch) is the source of this 567-nucleotide non-coding RNA. Lineage: Eukaryota; Metazoa; Chordata; Actinopteri; Centropomidae. The record is from the annotation of a RefSeq genome assembly.